RNAcentral lists this small RNA (535 nucleotides) under Pan troglodytes (chimpanzee). RNAcentral describes it as "retained intron". The record is from RNAcentral. Lineage: Eukaryota; Metazoa; Chordata; Mammalia; Primates; Hominidae.
UUCUUCAGGGGCAUCUUCCUGGAUACCAUUGUCCCCAAGUAUGAGGUGAACGGGGUGAAACCUCCCAUUGGCCAAAGGACACGGCUCAGCAAGGGGGACAUUGCCCAAGCCCGCAAGCUUUACAAGUGCCCAGCCUGUGGAGAGACCCUGCAAGACAGCACAGGCAACUUCUCCUCCCCUGAAUACCCCAAUGGCUACUCUGCUCACAUGCACUGCGUGUGGCGCAUCUCUGUCACACCCGGGGAGAAGAUCAUCCUGAACUUCACGUCCCUGGACCUGUACCGCAGCCGCCUGUGCUGGUACGACUAUGUGGAGGUCCGAGAUGGCUUCUGGAGGAAGGCGCCCCUCCGAGGUAACGGCACCAGCCACCCCCUGCUGCCUCCAUGCUGAUUCCCUCUCUGAGCCACCCUCAUCACACUCUUCAUCCCCCUCCAGGGCCCAACACUGGCCAGGGAUGACAUCCUGGUGUGGGAGCCAGGAGUCCUGGCAUCAUUAGUCCCAGAUAGCUGCAUUACUCACUUGCUGCGUGACUUCA